This 419-nucleotide long non-coding RNA is filed under the name Anas platyrhynchos platyrhynchos (common mallard). RNAcentral's name for it is "lncRNA (ENSAPLG00000020463.1)". Lineage: Eukaryota; Metazoa; Chordata; Aves; Anseriformes; Anatidae. The record is from RNAcentral.
GUGACUAGAAGAGCAGAGAGGGGGAUGUUCUCUGGCUGUUGAUUAGGAUCCUCCCAACACUGAAUUCAGGUGUAGGAUUCAGAGGGCUUUUGAUUUCUCUCCCUCUUAAUUGUUCUUGAAGGCUCAGAAGUUUCUCAGGCUGACGAAAACUGUGGAAAGAUCCAUCCAGGGAAAUUAUGCUCAAUUAACUUUGUUCCCAAUUAUUUCAACGCCACAGAUGAAGAAAAAAUGGUUUAAAAAGUUUGCGAGGAGGAACAGCACCUUCAUUCCUGCUUGCAUGGCAACAACAGCUGCAUUCACAUGAAAAGGCCAGCUUGUUAAACAUCAUGUAACACUGAAUGUACUGAAUAUUUUAAAGGUCAGGUAUUGACAGGCACUGAGCUGCUUAUGUUUCCCUAAUGACCCCAAUUACAUCCAAG